This 386-nucleotide ribosomal RNA is filed under the name Salmonella enterica subsp. enterica serovar Kentucky. RNAcentral describes it as "bacterial SSU rRNA". It matches the Rfam family "Bacterial small subunit ribosomal RNA", at positions 869 to 1255 of the family's 1533-position model. The record is from RNAcentral. Lineage: Bacteria; Pseudomonadati; Pseudomonadota; Gammaproteobacteria; Enterobacterales; Enterobacteriaceae.
CCGCCUGGGGAGUACGGCCGCAAGGUUAAAACUCAAAUGAAUUGACGGGGGCCCGCACAAGCGGUGGAGCAUGUGGUUUAAUUCGAUGCAACGCGAAGAACCUUACCUGGUCUUGACAUCCACAGAACUUUCCAGAGAUGGACUGGUGCCUUCGGGAACUGUGAGACAGGUGCUGCAUGGCUGUCGUCAGCUCGUGUUGUGAAAUGUUGGGUUAAGUCCCGCAACGAGCGCAACCCUUAUCCUUUGUUGCCAGCGGUUAGGCCGGGAACUCAAAGGAGACUGCCAGUGAUAAACUGGAGGAAGGUGGGGAUGACGUCAAGUCAUCAUGGCCCUUACGACCAGGGCUACACACGUGCUACAAUGGCGCAUACAAAGAGAAGCGACCU